This 250-nucleotide ribosomal RNA is filed under the name uncultured bacterium. RNAcentral's name for it is "partial 16S ribosomal RNA". It matches the Rfam family "Bacterial small subunit ribosomal RNA", at positions 524 to 773 of the family's 1533-position model. The record is from RNAcentral.
UACGGAGGGGGCUAGCGUUGUUCGGAAUUACUGGGCGUAAAGCGCACGUAGGCGGACGAGAAAGUCAGAGGUGAAAUCCCAGGGCUCAACCUUGGAACUGCCUUUGAAACUUCUUGUCUUGAGGUCGAGAGAGGUGAGUGGAAUUCCGAGUGUAGAGGUGAAAUUCGUAGAUAUUCGGAGGAACACCAGUGGCGAAGGCGGCUCACUGGCUCGAUACUGACGCUGAGGUGCGAAAGCGUGGGGAGCAAAC